AGAGUUUGAUCAUGGCUCAGGGUGAACGCUGGCGGCAUGCCUAAGGCAUGCAAGUCGAACGGUUGUAGCAAUACAGCCAUGGCAAACGGGUGAGUAACACAUUGGUAACCUACCUCUAUCCCGGGCAUAACCCUCCGAAAGGAGGGACAAUACCCGAUAGUCAUGCGGGGUCGAAAGACAUUCGCAUGUAAAACUCCGGUGGAUAGAGAGGGGCCUAUGGCCCAUCAGCUUGUUGGUAGGGUAAUGGCCUACCAAGGCGAUGACGGGUAGCGGGUGUGAGAGCACGACCCGCCUCACGGGGACUGAGACACUGCCCCGACUCCUACGGGAGGCUGCAGUCAGGAAUAUUCCUCAAUGCGCGAAAGCGUGAAGGAGCAAUGCCGCGUGAUCGAAGAAGCCCUUCGGGGUGUAAAGAUCUUUUAUCAGGGACGAAUACGUGACGGUACCUGAUGAAUAAGCCACUGCUAACUUCGUGCCAGCAGCAGCGGUAAUACGAAGGUGGCAAGCGUUACCCGGAUUAAUUGGGCGUAAAGCGUCCGCAGAUGGUUUGAUACGUCAUAUGUCAAAUCCUGAAGCUCAACUUCAGGGCUGCAUGUGAUACGGUCUUACUAGGGGCUGGUAGAGGCAAGCGGAAUUAUCGGUGUAGCGGUAAAAUGCGUUAAUAUCGAUAAGAACACCAAAGGCGAAAGCAGCUUGCUGGAACAGUCCUGACAUUAAGGGACGAAAGCGUGGGGAGCGAAUGGGAUUAGAUACCCCAGUAGUCC
Molecule: ribosomal RNA, 764 nt
Filed under: uncultured bacterium
Lineage: Bacteria
Description: bacterial SSU rRNA
Rfam family: Bacterial small subunit ribosomal RNA
Source: RNAcentral